RNAcentral lists this ribosomal RNA (465 nucleotides) under Vreelandella stevensii. RNAcentral describes it as "partial 16S ribosomal RNA". It matches the Rfam family "Bacterial small subunit ribosomal RNA", at positions 338 to 795 of the family's 1533-position model. Lineage: Bacteria; Pseudomonadati; Pseudomonadota; Gammaproteobacteria; Oceanospirillales; Halomonadaceae. The record is from RNAcentral.
CCUACGGGUGGCAGCAGUGGGGAAUAUUGGACAAUGGGCGAAAGCCUGAUCCAGCCAUGCCGCGUGUGUGAAGAAGGCCUUCGGGUUGUAAAGCACUUUCAGUGGGGAAGAAAGCCUUGGGGCUAAUACCCUCGAGGAAGGACAUCACCCACAGAAGAAGCACCGGCUAACUCCGUGCCAGCAGCCGCGGUAAUACGGAGGGUGCGAGCGUUAAUCGGAAUUACUGGGCGUAAAGCGCGCGUAGGCGGUCUGAUAAGCCGGUUGUGAAAGCCCCGGGCUCAACCUGGGAACGGCAUCCGGAACUGUCAGGCUAGAGUGCAGGAGAGGAAGGUAGAAUUCCCGGUGUAGCGGUGAAAUGCGUAGAGAUCGGGAGGAAUACCAGUGGCGAAGGCGGCCUUCUGGACUGACACUGACGCUGAGGUGCGAAAGCGUGGGUAGCAAACAGGGUUAGAUACCCUAGUAGUC